Long non-coding RNA from Oncorhynchus kisutch (coho salmon), 1559 nucleotides. RefSeq lists it as uncharacterized. Lineage: Eukaryota; Metazoa; Chordata; Actinopteri; Salmoniformes; Salmonidae. The record is from RefSeq and is a predicted model, not a curated record. The transcript has 4 exons.
AAAAGGUCGCAAAGUUCAAGGGGGGCGAAUACUUUCGCAAGGCACUGUAUAUGAACAUGAUAUCAGGCCCAUGAAGAAUUGUCCUUAUCCCUCCUCAGGGAUAAAUGAGUGGUCCUUACAAAAGCGUCAAAAACACCAAACUUUUCUCUGACAACAUGGGGGAAAGAGGCAUUGUGGAGGCAGACCAUAUCCCACCAAAGAAUUCCCUGAAGCUGGCCAGAGACCAAAAAUCUCAGAUGAAAAAUCUUCAACAGAAGAAUCUGAAGCUUUAUGAUAUGAUAAACAGCAUUGAAUCAGAUCAAAAUGGAGGGAACCUGCUCACAAUGCGGGUUCUCAAAUAGCAUCACAGGAAUGCUCUAACCACUGGAAGGAGUAAGACAUCUGUCAUCUGCAGGAAGCUGCUGGCGGAUACACUUGCAAGCGGAGAUGUGGAGAAAUCACUGAAGUUAUCUUUCAUCAUGGCUCAUCCUAUUGCUUCGGACCAGCUCAGAGACAAAGCAGGAAAGCCCAAUAAACUUACCCUGGGAUCCAUUGAUUUAUCUCCUGAAGGAACAGUGUUCUACUAUAAAGCUGGCUUCAAUCAGAUGCUGAAUCACCAUAGUAAAGAGGGGAUCAUCGACCAGAAUCAGCAGGCGAGGCUGAAGUCCUGGGUGUCCGAUAAGAAGUACAUGGACCCGGACACCCCAGAGUACAACAACAUCCUUGCAGCCAUCCAGUAACACAACCUCCACUGGAGACAUGUUAGUAAAGGGAUAAAAUCAUACUUUUAUAUUCAGCAUAUGAAUAUCAUGAAUUUAGUAUAAUCAUAAUGUGAAUAAUUUCUUGUUGAACCUUAGUUGAAUGACAAUUUGACCUUUCUACUGCUACAUAAUUACUAUACUUUUUUUGUUUGUGCUUCCACAAGGUAGCCUAUGGCUUUUCAAAAUAGAUACAGUAACUUAUGUGCAAGGUGCAUGAGAUAUAAGCUUGCUAAAACAACUAUAGGUUCUUUACAGUAAACUGUAAAUUGACUUUUGAUUUUGUUUCAUUCAAUACUGUAUAUUAUACUGGGUGCCAAAGUUAAUUUCUCAAUGUCAUAAUAUUUACUGAUGUCCUAAUAUUUAAUGUUUGUAGUUUCUUAGUGUUGAAUUAUAUAGCCUACUUUCCAUUUUAGUGUAAUGAUCAUGAUAACCUUUUAAAAUCGAAUCAGAAUGUAUUUGUCGCAUGUGCAGAAUACAGUGAAAUGCUUACCCACAAGCCCUUAACAACAAUGCAGUUUUAAGAAAAUAAAAUAAAGAAAUAUAACAAAUAAUUAAGGAGCAACAAUAAAAUAACAGUAGCGAGGCUAUGUAUUUUAUGCUCAUCAUCAGUGGUUUCACAGUCAAAUCAUGGUCUCAUUGGCAGUGUUUAUCAUGUAUUGGAUUUCUUUACUCUUGGAUUAUGGAUGAUUUUAUAUUCAUUCAAUCCAAGGUAGUGUUUUAAUCUAUUUGAAUAAAUGUUUGCGGUCUCAAAAAUAUUAUCUGUAUUUGAAACUAUUGAUAAUAAACUGAUUUAAUUUGCAAGACUACUAGCAAUGUGCA